This is a long non-coding RNA of Callithrix jacchus (white-tufted-ear marmoset), 5752 nucleotides long. RefSeq lists it as uncharacterized. Lineage: Eukaryota; Metazoa; Chordata; Mammalia; Primates; Cebidae. The record is from RefSeq and is a predicted model, not a curated record.
UCUGUCAUCCAGGUUGGAGUGCAGUGGCUUGAUUUCAGCUCACUGCAACCUCUACCUCCUGGGUUCAAGCGAUCCUCCCACCUCAGCCUCCAGAGUAGCUGGGACCACAGAUGCACGCUCCAUGGAGACUCACCUAAUUUUUUGUAUUUUUGGUAGAGACCGGGUUUCAUCUUGUUGCCCAGGCUGGUCUCAACUAAGCUCAAGUGAUCUGCCUGCCUUGGCUUCCCAAAGGGCUGGGAUUACAGGUAUGAGCCACCACACCCAGACUAUCUUUUAAUAUAUUGUGUAGUUUAGUUUACAGUCUCUUCGCUACUAGAAUAUAACUGCCUUGAGGUCAUGGAUUGGUGUCUAUUUUAUUUACUGCUGUAUCUUCAGCAUCAAGACUGCUUGGCAGAUAGUAAGCACUUGAUAUACUUGUUGAGUGAACAAAUUAAAAAUGAACAGGUGUGGAUCUGGCUGUCUCACUGGGAGAGCCCCAAAUAGUUGGCUCCUAGACACCUUUUCUUUUGAGACUUUAGUCUCUUCAGCUUCACAGCUGGAGAACUGUGCCUCAUCUUCAGAGUUCUGGCUGCCAAGCAGGGAAAAGGGACAUGACAGCUCCCUGGCUGGUGUGCAGACUCUCAUGUAAACUCCUGUUUUCUGCCCUGCUCCUUGCUGAGUAAUUCUGUGUGAUAUGCAAGGAUAGGAAGAAUGAUCUUUCAAACAGCACGGAGAGAUUGUCACUAGGGACUGGUAGAAAAAAAACAAUAAAAAUAACCAACCAAAAAUUUACAUCCAAAGCUCUACUCUGUUUACUGAAGAAAGCAAGUGAUCCAAUCUCCUGUGAAUGUUGCUGAUUUUAAUAACAACCUUCUCUGCUUCCUCCAGCCUGGCUCUUUGGGCUGGACUCCUGACAACCAUUUCUUCCCAUUCAAGUCUGUCCAAAGAUGCCCCUUAAGGAGGAAGAACUGCCAGUGGUGGUAAAUGGAUCUGUGUGACCCACACCACACUAUUUCAAUUCCCAACGGAGUCUCUCUCUGUAGUCCAGGCUGGAGUACAGUGGCACCAUCCCGGCUCGCUGCAACCUCCGCCUUUCAGGUUCAAGCAAUUCUCCUGCCUCAGCCUCCCAAACAGCUGGGACUACAGGUGCCUGCCACCACACCCAACUAAUUUUUUAUAAUUUUUGUAGAGAUGGGGUUUCACCAUGUUGGCCAAGGUGGUCUCAAACUCCUGACCUCAAGUGAUCUGCCCACCUCGGCCUUCCAAAGUGCUGGGAUUACAGGUGUGAACCACCAUGCUCAGCCCUUUUCCAAUAUUUUAAUAAAGGUAAACAGCUGAUUUACCUAGUUAGAAGUUUUACAUGGUUUAUUUUCUUGUAUGGUGGCAGCAGCAAGGGAUAUAAUAUAAACUCAAUUCAAGGAUAACUGCCAUAUACAUAUAAUUAUCUAUUCAAAAUACUUAAUUCACUUUUUUUUUUAAAGCAUCCCAGUAUUUAGAGUAGCUUUUGACCAAUUCUGCUUUCUCAGUUGAUGGCAAAAGCACACCCAGUAUAUGUAGAGAGGCUGUCGUCUGCCUCAUCUUUUACUAUGGCAAAAAAAGGAGAGUCUACAAACUUGGAAAUACUGAAAACUACUGCCCUGAACCAAAGAGGUGAUUGAUGGUGGUAGCUCUGAGAUUUCCUACUUAUAGAAAAUCUAGCAAAUCGCUGCCAUGUGAGGGUAGUAUCAAAUAAUGGUCAUUCUUACCAAAGUCAGUGUGCAAGGAAUCUUCAGCAGUCUUUCCCGGGCAUUUAAAGAGGGUAUUUACAGCAUCUUGGGAGGCCAAGGCAGGUGGAUCACUUGGGGUCAGGAAUUUCAAGACAAGCCUGGCUAACAUGGCAAAAAUCCAUCCCUACUAAAAAUACAAAAAUUAGCCGGGCGUGGUGGCACAUGCCUGUAAUCCUAGCUACUCUGAGCUCAGAGUCUCCAGAGUAGCUGCUUCAGAACACUGGGUCUACAGUACAUGAGCAGAGAGCAGAGAUCGCACCACUGCAUGCCAGCCUGGGCGACAGAGGGAGACUCCAUCUCGAACAAACAAACAAACAAAGAAGUAGAUGUUUCAUUUGUCCCAGACACUAGCAGAAGAGCGAGGGGGUAGCACUGCAAAACCUCAAGCUUGGUAAAUUUACUUAGCAGACAUUCACACAGGCUUGUGAAGACUGCUGGGCUGGAAGCUUGACCUUGGAACUUGCCAGAGCCUUUAAUAUGUUAGUUAGCGUGCAUCGUGAAUUUCCAAAGUAGUGACUAAGUACGCAUUAUCUCUCAAAGUUUUUACCUGUCUUUUUUUCAAGACACACCUCUGUCAGAAUUCAUUUUAAGGGUUACAAACACUGGAAAUGCUGAUUUAUUGCCCUUUCACUUCUCUCCCCUUUGCCUCUCUCACUUGCUCUUCCACAGUUAACAGCAUUUCAUGCAAGGGAUGCUCUUAUGGUCUGAAUGUUUCCGUCCCUCCAGAAUUCAUAGGUGAAAAUCCUAACCUCUGAGGUGAUGGUAUUAGAAAGUGGGGCCUUGUGGGAGGUGAUUAGGUCAUAAGGGUGGAGCCCUCAUGAAUGGGAUUAGUGCCCUUUUAAAGAGGCCCCAGAGGGCUAGCUUAUCCUUCCACCUUGUGAGGACACAGUGAGAAGCCACCAUCUAUAAGCUAGGAAAUGGGUUCUCUUCAGACUCUGAAGCAACCAGGAGCUUGGUCUUGGACUUCCCAGCCUUCAGAACUAUGAGAAAUAUAUUUCUGUUGUUUAGAGGCUACCCAGUCUAUGGUAUUUUGUUGUAGUAGCCCCAGCAGACUAAGACAGAUGCUGAAUGGGUGCAUCAUGUCAACGUUUGGCAUUUCUUCUAUGUCAGCAUUCUGUAACUUAUUCACACUUUCAGCUGGUAAUUUGGUGUAAGCCCCAAGUUUCUCAAUAAUCACACAAAGCCCAUCAAGUCUUCAUCUGCUGGUUCAAUUCAAGCAUCAUUAUAAUCCAAAGUCUGUGCCAAGAGCUGUUAAUGCUGAUUUAUCAAGAGUCCCAAGCAUUGGCAACUAUAUAAAUGGCAUCCUUAAGAUUGAACUCUUCUGAAAAGUCAUAAAUUCUAUGACUCUGUUAAAUGUAGCCAGCAAACCAUUAGCAAAGGCAAAUGCAAAAAGAUACACUUGCUUGUCAUGGAUUGCAGAAUUCUGUGGUCAUGAGGCUGUAUUGUGGGUGUCACGGUGAGUAAUCAUAGGAGGGUGUGAGAAGCAUUUGCCCAGAAACAAAUUUUUUUCCAUUUUUAUCUGGUUUUGGUGGCUUUGCUGUGAAUGGAUGUCACCGGUCUACAGUGGUUACAGAACCAGUCAGAACACAUUUUUCUAGCUACUUAUACUUUUCUUCCUCCCUUCCUUCUCUCCUGCCCUCCCUACCUCCUUUCUUUCUUUUCUCUCUUCUCUUUCUUUCUUCUGUUUUCUACAACUUUAUUAAAGUAUAUUUUCUUCAAUGAGAGUAUGUUUAAGCUGCGACAGGAACUGGUCCUAGAAUCUAAAAUUCCUGCUCCUUUCAUGGUUCAGAAGCCAUGUGGACUGAAUUCAAAUUUUGGUUAGACAUUUUCCCAACUGUGUGACUAUAGGUAAGCAAAUCUCUCAAGUUUGGCUUAUUAUCAGAAUAAAAGAUGAUGAAAAUUAAAUUGACUAAUUACAUUAAAAUUAAAGAUGAUAAACAGAGAAACCUCACUCUGGCUUCCCAAGGCUGAAUGGGCCCUACAACCAGCUCUCCAUUCUCCCAGCCACUUCCUACCUAUAAAAAGCAUGUUGCUUUUUCCUAUUAUCUGUUUUGGGUUACAUCAAAUAUUAACCACAGGGUUGGUGUGUUGACAAGUCACAGCAUUUGAAGAAUCCUAAUCGGUUCAGACUUUGGAAUAGUUUCCUCGGAGGUGGGUGGUAAGGAAAGUGGGGAGGGAGGAUGACUUUAAUGACUCCUUGACCUUGAAGUCAGCCUUGCAAGUCAACUAAAAGAAUGUGUCUCCCGGCAACAUGCCUAGUCUCCCUCACACGGCCCAAAGACAGCAGUGAAACAGCAACCUCAAAGGAGGACAUUGACUUCAGUGUUUGCUGGAUCACUGUACAUUUUUCUUAGAAUGCUUACAGAGGCGGUUUGCCAGUCAGUAGAGUAUGUGAGCUUUGGAGUCAGGUCCUGGUUCUUUCCAGAUCUCCCACUUAUUAACCAUGUGGCCUUAGGCUGUUAUGUGCUCAUUUUAGAAUAGAGAUACUGACAGCCCGUGGUCACUGGACUGCUGGGACAAUAAAAUGAUAGCGAUAAUGAGAGUGGUUUUACUUACAGAGUGCUGACUCUGUGCAAGGCACUGGUUUCAGCACUUUAUGUGUGUGAACUCAUUUACUCCUUCCAGUGACACUAUGGGGUUAGCAGUCCAUUAGCUGCAUGUUAUAAAUGAGCAGAUAAAGUCCAGAGAGAGGUCACUAUAUCUGUCUGAGGUCACACAGUAAGGGGUGGAGCUGGGAUGUGAAUCAGCCUGCGCAGUCUGGCUUCACAUGCUCAACCACCCCACCAGACCACUUUCCUGUGCUAUAUUAGCUCUUCUAAAGGAAAUCAUGUAUGCAGAAUGUCUGGCCCUCAGCAAAAGCACAAUAAAUGGUGAUAUUGAAAUAAUAAAUGAUACUUCCAUUUCCUCAGGCCUCGCCAGCUUAUGGACAUCAUACAAACACCUCUUGCCAGCUCCAAAACCAGGCCCCGACAUCUCCCAUGGACCUCCUGUUCUUCCACACUUGCCCCUCUCUGAGGUCCUGCCUGUGAAGUCCCUCGAGGUCGCGCCUCACCCUGCCACUGAUGUUGGUAUCCCCUAGGCCUCUCCCUUGAGCCAUCUGGCCAAGCUCCCUGGACCCCAAGCACAAAUGGGUAUCUGGGCCUAAACAGUCACUACCAUCUACUUGGAGACUGGUGACUUUCUGUUCCCCGCUAACUGUGUUCUGUUACAUUCAAUAGACAUUUCCUAGGCAAGUAUGAUACUUUGGAGAGAGUGCUAGAAGACAUACAAAAAUAAAGGAAGAGCUAAUGGUAGUCCACCUUCCUUGGAUGUCUGAGCAAAUGGCAUUUGUGAACAACAAGCAAAAAACAAACUUUGGAGGUCAGAAGUCCAAAAUCAGAAUGACUGGGCUAAAGUCAACAUCUCAGCAAGGCUGGUUCCUUCUGGAGGCAGUGUGGGGAGACUCCAUCACCUCAUCAUUUCUGGCUUUUAGAACCCAUCUUCAUUCCUUGGCUUGGGGCCCCUUUCUCUGUCUUCAAAGGGCAGCCACUUCAAAUCUCUUGCCAUCACAUUUCCUACUCCCCUAAUGCUCAUCCUACUGCCAGCCUUCUAUAAAGGCCCUUGUGAUUACAGUGAUUAAAAUGAACCCUCUCAGAACAAUCUCUGUAUCCCAAGAUCCUUAACUUAAUCAAACCGGCAAAAUCCCUUUUGCCAUGAAAGGCAACCUAUUCACAUGUUCUGGGGAUUAGGAAUGUACACAUUUUUGGGGAGGCCAUUAUCCUGUUUCCUACAGAGAGGAAGAUGAGAAAUAUGCACUUUCAUUUGCUUGUAUUCACAUAAAUAAACAGUUAUCAUGCACAAGACCACUAAUAAAUCUGAUUACCUGUGAAGGAUGGGGAGUAAGAGGGGAAGGAAUGGGAGCUAGGACUUCCUUCUCAAAGUUGACUUUUUAUAUUAUUUUGGGCUUUGAGCCAGGCAAAUAUAUUACCUUUUACACAAUGUUAACCACCAAAAAAUAAAGAGAAUGA